CACAGGUUUGGUCCCAGCCUUCUUAUUAGCUGUUAGCAGACCUAUACAUGCAAGUAACCGCACCCCCGUGAAAAUGCCCUCCAGGCCACACUGACCAAAAGGAGCAGGUAUCAAGCCCACUCCCCACAAAAGUAGCUCAUAACACCUUGCUAAGCCACACCCCCACGGGUAACAGCAGUAAUAAACAUUAGGCAAUGAACGAAAGUUCGACCUAGCUAUGCUAACUAACUAAGGGUUGGUAAAUUUCGUGCCAGCCACCGCGGUCAUACGAUUAACCCAAGUUAAUAAUAAACGGCGUAAAGAGUGUUUUAGAGUUAAUAGAACACUAAAGUUAAGUCUUAGCUAAGCUGUAAAAAGCCCCAGCCAAAGCAAAAAUAAAUAACGAAAGUAACUUUAUAUAUCUGAACACACGACAGUUAAGACCCAAACUGGGAUUAGAUACCCCACUAUGCUUAACCGUAAACUCAAGUAGCAUCUCAACAAUACUACUCGCCAGAGUACUACAAGCAAUAGCUCGAAACUCAAAGGACUUGGCGGUGCUUUACACCCCUCUAGAGGAGCCUGUUCUAUAAUCGAUAAACCCCGAUAAACCUCACCACCUCUUGCUAAUUCAACCUAUAUACCGCCAUCCUCAGCAAACCCUGUUAAGGACCCAUAGUAAGCGAGAGAAUCACACAUUAAAACGUUAGGUCAAGGUGUAGUCUAUGAGGUGGGAAGAAAUGGGCUACAUUUUCUAUAUUUACAGAACAACCAACGCCUCCCCUUAUGAAAAAAGUGGUUAAGGCGGAUUUAGAAGUAAAUUGAGAAUAGAGAGCUUGAUUGAAUAGGGCAAUGAAGCACGCACACACCGCCCGUCACCCUCCUCAAAUUAAUUCUAAUUACUAAAGUAUCUAUAAUCUAUACACACUAAAUUAUCAGAGGAGAUAAGUCGUAACAAGGUAAGCAUACUGGAAAGUGUGCUUGGAAUUAC
RNAcentral lists this non-coding RNA (970 nucleotides) under Xanthonycticebus pygmaeus (pygmy slow loris). RNAcentral's name for it is "Nycticebus pygmaeus (pygmy slow loris) 12S ribosomal RNA". It matches the Rfam family "Bacterial small subunit ribosomal RNA". The record is from RNAcentral. Lineage: Eukaryota; Metazoa; Chordata; Mammalia; Primates; Lorisidae.